Molecule: small RNA, 148 nt
Filed under: Macaca fascicularis (crab-eating macaque)
Lineage: Eukaryota; Metazoa; Chordata; Mammalia; Primates; Cercopithecidae
Description: Metazoan signal recognition particle RNA (ENSMFAG00000056321.1)
Source: Rfam by way of RNAcentral
GCCGGGUGUGGUGGCUUGUGCCUGUAGUCCCAGCUACUUGGGAGGCUGAGAUGGGAGGAUCACUUGAGCCCAGGAGUUUGAGGCUGCAGUGAACUGUGAUUGUGCCACUGCACUCUAGCUUGGGCAAAAAAGCAAGACCCUGUCUCAA